Molecule: ribosomal RNA, 393 nt
Filed under: uncultured bacterium
Lineage: Bacteria
Description: partial 16S ribosomal RNA
Rfam family: Bacterial small subunit ribosomal RNA
Source: RNAcentral
ACACGUAGGGGCCUGACGUUGUUCGGAAUCAUUGGGCGUAAAGGGCGCGCAGGCGGCCGUCCAAGUCCGGUGUUAAAUGGUCGGGCUCAACCCGAUCAUGCGCUGGAAACUGGGCGGCUGGAGUCCCGGAGGGGAUGCCGGAAUUCCAGGUGUAGGGGUGAAAUCUGUAGAUAUCUGGAAGAACACCGAUGGCGAAGGCAGGCAUCUGGCCGGAGACUGACGCUGAGGCGCGAAGGCGCGGGGAGCGAACAGGUUUAGAUACCCUGGUAGUCCGCACAGUAAACGAUGUGCACCAGGUGGCGGGGGGUCGACCCCCGGUACCGUAGCUAACGCAUUAAGUGCACCGCCUGGGGAGUAUGCUCGCAAGGGUGAAACUCAAAUGAAUUGACGGGG